GUCGAUGAUUACCAGUCCAACCAAUUGAGGUGUAGAGAGCUCCAAGUCCCUGUGCUACAGUGAGAACCUGCUUGGACUUUCUACAUUCAAAUGCUAUUUUGGAGCAAUUUCUGAU
This is a small nucleolar RNA of Ananas comosus (pineapple), 115 nucleotides long. It matches the Rfam family "Small nucleolar RNA Z278". From Rfam's summary of the family: snoZ278 is a C/D box small nucleolar RNA. Its methylation guide targets have not been reported. The record is from Rfam. NCBI's taxonomy places the organism in Eukaryota, Viridiplantae, Streptophyta, Magnoliopsida, Poales, Bromeliaceae.